AGUGAACGCUGGCGGUAGGCCUAACACAUGCAAGUCGAACGGCAGCACAGUAAGAGCUUGCUCUUACGGGUGGCGAGUGGCGGACGGGUGAGGAAUACAUCGGAAUCUACUUUUUCGUGGGGGAUAACGUAGGGAAACUUACGCUAAUACCGCAUACGACCUACGGGUGAAAGCAGGGGAUCUUCGGACCUUGCGCGAUUGAAUGAGCCGAUGUCGGAUUAGCUAGUUGGCGGGGUAAAGGCCCACCAAGGCGACGAUCCGUAGCCGGUCUGAGAGGAUGAUCAGCCACACUGGAACUGAGACACGGUCCAGACUCCUACGGGAGGCAGCAGUGGGGAAUAUUGGACAAUGGGCGCAAGCCUGAUCCAGCCAUACCGCGUGGGUGAAGAAGGCCUUCGGGUUGUAAAGCCCUUUUGUUGGGAAAGAAAAGCAGCAGGUUAAUACCCCGCUGCUCUGACGGUACCCAAAGAAUAAGCACCGGCUAACUUCGUG
This 492-nucleotide ribosomal RNA is filed under the name uncultured bacterium. Its description in RNAcentral is "partial 16S ribosomal RNA". It matches the Rfam family "Bacterial small subunit ribosomal RNA", at positions 29 to 507 of the family's 1533-position model. The record is from RNAcentral.